GGAUCCAGACUUUGAUUCUGGCUCAGGAUGAACGCUGGCGGCGUGCUUAACACAUGCAAGUCGAACGAAGCACUCUAUUUGAUUUUCUUCGGAAAUGAGGAUUUUGUGACUGAGUGGCGGACGGGUGAGUAACGCGUGGGUAUCCAGCCUCAUACAGGGGGAUAACAGUUGGAAACGACUGCUAAUACCGCAUAAGCGCACAGGAUCGCAUGAUCCGGUGUGAAAAACUCCGGUGGUAUGAGAUGGACCCGCGUCUGAUUAGCCAGUUGGCAGGGUAACGGCCUACCAAAGCGACGAUCAGUAGCCGACCUGAGAGGGUGACCGGCCACAUUGGGACUGAGACACGGCCCAAACUCCUACGGGAGGCAGCAGUGGGGAAUAUUGCACAAUGGGGGAAACCCUGAUGUAGCGACGCCGCGUGAGCGAAGAAGUAUUUCGGUAUGUAAAGCUCUAUCAGCAGGGAAGAAGAAUGACGGUACCUGACUAAGAAGCACCGGCUAAAUACGUGCCAGCAGCCGCGGUAAUACGUAUGGUGCAAGCGUUAUCCGGAUUUACUGGGUGUAAAGGGAGCGCAGGCGGUGCGGCAAGUCUGAUGUGAAAGCCCGGGGCUCAACCCCGGUACUGCAUUGGAAACUGUCGUACUAGAGUGUCGGAGGGGUAAGUGGAAUUCCUAGUGUAGCGGUGAAAUGCGUAGAUAUUAGGAGGAACACCAGUGGCGAAGGCGGCUUACUGGACGAUAACUGACGCUGAGGCUCGAAAGCGUGGGGAGCAAACAGGAUUAGAUACCCUGGUAGUCCACGCUGUAAACGAUGAAUACUAGGUGUCGGGGAGCAUUGCUCUUCGGUGCCGCAGCAAACGCAAUAAGUAUUCCACCUGGGGAGUACGUUAGAAGGAAUGCAACUCAAAGGAAUUGACGG
Molecule: ribosomal RNA, 917 nt
Filed under: uncultured bacterium
Lineage: Bacteria
Description: bacterial SSU rRNA
Rfam family: Bacterial small subunit ribosomal RNA
Source: RNAcentral